This 274-nucleotide ribosomal RNA is filed under the name uncultured bacterium. RNAcentral's name for it is "partial 16S ribosomal RNA". It matches the Rfam family "Bacterial small subunit ribosomal RNA", at positions 523 to 796 of the family's 1533-position model. The record is from RNAcentral.
AUACAGAAGCCUCAAGCGUUACCCGGAUUCACUGGGCGUAAAGGGUUCGUAGGCGGUUAUAUUAGUCGGGUGUUAAAUCCUGAGGCUCAACCUCAGGCUCGCAUUCGAAACGGUAUAACUAGAAGACGUGAGAGGUGAACAGAACUCAUGGUGUAGGGGUGAAAUCCGUUGAUAUCAUGGGGAAUACCAAAUGCGAAGGCAGUUCACUGGCACUUUCUUGACGCUGAGGAACGAAAGCGUGGGUAGCGAACGGGAUUAGAAACCCCAGUAGUCC